Molecule: ribosomal RNA, 344 nt
Filed under: uncultured delta proteobacterium
Lineage: Bacteria; Deltaproteobacteria
Description: bacterial SSU rRNA
Rfam family: Bacterial small subunit ribosomal RNA
Source: RNAcentral
CGUGAGUGAUGAAGGCUUUCGGGUCGUAAAGCUCUGUCAAGUGGGAAGAACCUAUAUAAUGUUAAUACCAUUAUAUAUUGACGGUACCACUGAAGGAAGCACCGGCUAACUCCGUGCCAGCAGCCGCGGUAAUACGGGGGGUGCAAGCGUUAUUCGGAAUCAUUGGGCGUAAAGAGCACGUAGGCGGCCUGGUAAGUCAGAUGUGAAAGCCCGGGGCUUAACCCCGGAAGUGCAUUUGAUACUGCCAGGCUUGAGUAUGGGAGAGGGAAGUGGAAUUCCUGGUGUAGAGGUGAAAUUCGUAGAUAUCAGGAGGAACACCGGUGGCGAAGGCGACUUCCUGGACC